Molecule: long non-coding RNA, 1045 nt
Organism: Camelina sativa (false flax)
Lineage: Eukaryota; Viridiplantae; Streptophyta; Magnoliopsida; Brassicales; Brassicaceae
Source: RefSeq, a predicted model, not a curated record
GUUUUUUUACUUUUUUGCUGCAUUUGGUUCUCUAUCUGUUUCGAAACAAACGAGAGAAGAGAUAGGGAGAAGAAUCGAUUUUUCAUAAGUCGAUUCACAACCCAUCGGUUUUCCAGUUAAAAAUGAUCUCUUCAAUUCUGGGUAUUAAUCGAUUGAUUUCGGAGGAGAAGACAUUGAUGCUCAGUUCAAGCAAUUCUCGCCUCCAAUGUCGAGAGGACCAGGUCGACUGAUACAGAACGUGACAUAGUUCGCAGAUGCUCCGUUCAAGUAAUAGACAUUCUCGAUUUACCAAUCAAGCUUUUCUUGUCUCCUUUCACUCUUGGCUUUGGCAUCCCUGAAUUCAUCUCAAAACUGUCUAACCUCUCUGUUUUCGCGGUUGCUACACUUGGAACUUAUGACAUUGCAUUGGAUUUGGGAAAGAAAGUCAUAUGCCAAAGGGAUUAUUGCAAAACUUGUAAUGGGUGGCAGGCAUUACGGUGCACCAUGUGCAAAGGAACAGGGAAUGUUCAUUACCAAAUCAAAGAUGGGAUUGUCUCUUGUUAAACCAAGUUUAUAAUCGCUUCAGCCAUUAGAUUUCAUGAAAAUUAAUCAAUUCACCGUUAUUCUGAUAAUUCUCUAAGUAUUCAUUAUCUAAAGUAAACUGAUGGAUGUUAAUGAUUUAGUUAUCCAAGUGAUAUAUUGUAACAUACAUAAAAGAACUUAAAGAUUUCUUAUUUCUGUCUUCUUUGUAGUGGAGAGAAGAAACCAACAGCUGAUUCUGUCGCAGAUGCCAUAGUUGAAAAUCGAGCUGAGUUGGUUCAUCUUCCCUCCUCCAUCGACAUUAGUGCACCAUUGCCUUCAAAAGACUGCCCAACUUAUGAUGGAAUAGUAAGCUCUGUCCCCCCUGCUCAUGGUCUAGGCUACGGUUAAUGUAUUUACAUUGCUAUAUUUGAUACAGAUUUGGUUUAUUUCUCUCAAAUUGUUAUGUACUACUGUUUAUUUCAUGUCCAUGUGAUAAGGUGCUUUUAUGUGUGUUAAGGUGAACAAAAUAGACCAAUUUUACUUA